This 497-nucleotide ribosomal RNA is filed under the name uncultured bacterium. RNAcentral's name for it is "partial 16S ribosomal RNA". It matches the Rfam family "Bacterial small subunit ribosomal RNA", at positions 28 to 507 of the family's 1533-position model. The record is from RNAcentral.
GAUGAACGCUGGCGGCGUGCCUAAUACAUGCCAGUCGAGCGAACAGACGAGGAGCUUGCUCCUAUGACGUUAGCGGCGGACGGGUGAGUAACACGUGGAUAACCUACCUAUAAGACUGGGAUAACUUCGGGAAACCGGAGCUAAUACCGGAUAAUAUAUUGAACCGCAUGGUUCAAUAGUGAAAGACGGUUUUGCUGUCACUUAUAGAUGGAUCCGCGCCGCAUUAGCUAGUUGGUAAGGUAACGGCUUACCAAGGCGACGAUGCGUAGCCGACCUGAGAGGGUGAUCGGCCACACUGGAACUGAGACACGGUCCAGACUCCUACGGGAGGCAGCAGUAGGGAAUCUUCCGCAAUGGGCGAAAGCCUGACGGAGCAACGCCGCGUGAGUGAUGAAGGUCUUCGGAUCGUAAAACUCUGUUAUUAGGGAAGAACAAAUGUGUAAGUAACUAUGCACGUCUUGACGGUACCUAAUCAGAAAGCCACGGCUAACUACGUG